RNAcentral lists this ribosomal RNA (3335 nucleotides) under Thioalkalivibrio denitrificans. RNAcentral's name for it is "Bacterial large subunit ribosomal RNA". It matches the Rfam family "Bacterial large subunit ribosomal RNA". The record is from Rfam by way of RNAcentral. Lineage: Bacteria; Pseudomonadati; Pseudomonadota; Gammaproteobacteria; Chromatiales; Ectothiorhodospiraceae.
GGUCAAGCGGUUAAGCGCAUACGGUGGAUGCCUAGGCGGUAGGAGGCGAUGAAGGACGUAGCAGCCUGCGAUAAGCCUCGGGGAGCUGGCAAGCAAGCUUUGAUCCGGGGAUGUCCGAAUGGGGAAACCCACCUCUUCGGAGGUAUCUGCACCUGAAUACAUAGGGUGUAGAGGCGAUACCCGGGGAACUGAAACAUCUAAGUACCCGGAGGAAAAGAAAUCAACCGAGAUUCCGUCAGUAGCGGCGAGCGAACGCGGAUUAGCCCAAAAGCUUCUUUGGUUUUAGUGGAACGGUCUGGAAAGUCCGGCCAUAGUGGGUGAUAGCCCCGUACACGAAAAGGCCAUUGAAGUGAAAUUGAGUAGGGCGGGACACGUGAAAUCCUGUCUGAACAUGGGGGGACCAUCCUCCAAGGCUAAAUACUCCCUACCGACCGAUAGUGAACCAGUACCGUGAGGGAAAGGCGAAAAGAACCCCGGAGAGGGGAGUGAAAUAGAACCUGAAACCGUAUGCGUACAAGCAGUGGGAGCCCCUUCGGGGGUGACUGCGUACCUUUUGUAUAAUGGGUCAGCGACUUACUUUCAGUGGCAAGGUUAACCGCAUAGGGGAGCCGUAGGGAAACCGAGUCUUAACAGGGCGAUCAGUCGCUGGGAGUAGACCCGAAACCGGGCGAUCUAUCCAUGGCCAGGGUGAAGGCGGGGUAAUUCCCGCUGGAGGCCCGAACCCACUAAUGUUGAAAAAUUAGGGGAUGAGCUGUGGAUCGGAGUGAAAGGCUAAACAAGCCCGGAAAUAGCUGGUUCUCCUCGAAAGCUAUUUAGGUAGCGCCUCGUGUAUCACUCCUGGGGGUAGAGCACUGUUAUGGCUAGGGGGUCAUCCCGACUUACCAAACCAUUGCAAACUCCGAAUACCAGGAAGUGCGAGCACGGGAGACACACGGCGGGUGCUAACAUCCGUCGUGGAGAGGGAAACAACCCAGACCGCCAGCUAAGGUCCCCAAAUCAUGGCUCAGUGGGAAACGAUGUGGGAAGGCAGAAACAGCCAGGAGGUUGGCUUAGAAGCAGCCAUCCUUUAAAGAAAGCGUAAUAGCUCACUGGUCGAGUCGGCCCGCGCGGAAGAUUUAACGGGGCUUAAGCCAUGUACCGAAGCUGCGGGAAUCAGAUGGCAGAUUUCAGAUAUUAGAAAUCAGAAGCAACAUGGAGGUUUGAUAUGGAUGCGAACGGAUUCGAGCGCAUGGAGGUUUUUCAGCGGGCAUACAAGCUCUCGCUGGAAAUACACCGUGCAAGUCUGAAGCUGCCCAAGGUCGAGCAAUAUUGUUUGGCUGCACAGAUGCGUCGGGCGAGCAAGUCGAUACCGGCGAAUCUGGCGGAAGGAUAUGCCAAGCGCGCCUCUCAGGCCGAGUUCAACCGUUUCGUUCAAAUGGCGAUCGGUUCGGCUGACGAGAUGCGGGUCUGGCUACGAUAUUGCGUAGAUCUCGGAUACAUCGGAAAAGACGAGUGGACGAACUGGAAGGCCGAGUACGUCGAAGUGGCGAAAAUGCUCACAGGCCUCUCAAAAGCCGCCAGUCUGAAAUCUGAUGUCUGAUCUGAGAUCUGAUGUCUGAAAUCUGUCAUCUGAUUCGGUAGAGGAGCGUUCCGUACGCCUGUGAAGGUGUGUCGAGAGGCAUGCUGGAGGUAUCGGAAGUGCGAAUGCUGACAUAAGUAACGAUAAUGCGGGUGAAAAACCCGCACGCCGAAAGCCCAAGGUUUCCUGCGCAACGUUAAUCGGCGCAGGGUUAGUCGGCCCCUAAGGUGAGGCAGAAAUGCGUAAUCGAUGGGAAACAGGCUAAUAUUCCUGUACCUCGUGAUACUGCGACGGGGGGACGGAGAAGGCUAGGUCAUCCGGGCGUUGGUUGUCCCGGUUCAAGCGAGUAGGGAGUGAUUCCAGGAAAAUCCGGUUUCACAAUCCUGAGACGUGACGACGAGUUCCUACGUGGAGCGAAGUGACUGAUGCCAUGCUUCCAAGAAAAUCCUCUAAGCUUCAGGUAUCACGGGACCGUACCCGAAACCGACACAGGUGGGCAGGGUGAGAAUCCCAAGGCGCUUGAGAGAACUCGGGUGAAGGAACUAGGCAAAAUGGUACCGUAACUUCGGGAGAAGGUACGCCCUUGGUGGUGAUGGGACUUGCUCCCUGAGCUGCUGGGGGUCGCAGAGACCAGGCCGCUGCGACUGUUUAUUAAAAACACAGCACUCUGCAAACUCGAAAGAGGACGUAUAGGGUGUGACGCCUGCCCGGUGCCGGAAGGUUAAUUGAUGGGGUUAGUCUUCGGACGAAGCUCUUGAUCGAAGCCCCGGUAAACGGCGGCCGUAACUAUAACGGUCCUAAGGUAGCGAAAUUCCUUGUCGGGUAAGUUCCGACCUGCACGAAUGGCGUAACGAUGGCGGCACUGUCUCCACCCGGGACUCAGUGAAAUUGAAAUCGCUGUGAAGAUGCAGUGUACCCGCGGCUAGACGGAAAGACCCCGUGAACCUUUACUACAGCUUCACACUGAACUUUGAACCUGCUUGUGUAGGAUAGGUGGGAGGCUUUGAAGCGGCGACGCCAGUCGUCGUGGAGCCAACCUUGAAAUACCACCCUGGCAUGUUUGAAGUUCUAACCUAGUCCCGUUAUCCGGGACAGAGACAGUGUGUGGUGGGUAGUUUGACUGGGGCGGUCUCCUCCCAAAGAGUAACGGAGGAGUGCGAAGGUACCCUCAGCGCGGUCGGAAAUCGCGCACUGAGUGCAAAGGCAAAAGGGUGCUUGACUGCGAGACAGACAAGUCGAGCAGGUGCGAAAGCAGGUCUUAGUGAUCCGGUGGUUCUGUAUGGAAGGGCCAUCGCUCAACGGAUAAAAGGUACUCCGGGGAUAACAGGCUGAUACUGCCCAAGAGUCCAUAUCGACGGCAGUGUUUGGCACCUCGAUGUCGGCUCAUCACAUCCUGGGGCUGAAGCAGGUCCCAAGGGUAUGGCUGUUCGCCAUUUAAAGUGGUACGCGAGCUGGGUUUAGAACGUCGUGAGACAGUUCGGUCCCUAUCUGCCGUGGGCGUCGGAAAUUUGAGAGGAUCUGCUCCUAGUACGAGAGGACCGGAGUGGACGUACCUCUGGUGUUCCGGUUGUCACGCCAGUGGCAUUGCCGGGUAGCUAAGUACGGAAGGGAUAACCGCUGAAAGCAUCUAAGCGGGAAGCCCACCUCAAGAUGAGAUUUCCCUGGACCCUCGAGGUCCCUGAAGGGCCGUCGGAGACUACGACGUUGAUAGGCUGGGUGUGGAAGCGCAGUAAUGUGUGAAGCUAACCAGUACUAAUUGCCCGUGCGGCUUGACCAU